Molecule: long non-coding RNA, 303 nt
Organism: Coregonus clupeaformis (lake whitefish)
Lineage: Eukaryota; Metazoa; Chordata; Actinopteri; Salmoniformes; Salmonidae
Exons: 3
Source: RefSeq, a predicted model, not a curated record
GGGUUGCAGCAGGAACUCUGGGGGUCUUUCUGCUUAUCAUUCUGAUCAGUCUUUUUGGAUGGAGGAGAAACUCUAGGCUCCCCGAUGGACUUGAAAGGACGGACAAUCCACAGGGACAGAACUCCCCGGUUGGGACGGUGUGUGUUAACCAGACCACAGCCAGAGAGAAACCAGAGGAACCUGCAGAAGACCAGCCUGAAGAGAUCCACUAUGGUGACAUAGACUUCUCCAAACUACGGCCCAAAGAGACCCCAGCUGCAGCCCAGGACAGGAACAGGGUCCAGGGGCAGGAGAGUGAGUACG